GCGCGAGUGGUGAAAUUGGCAGACACGCUAGAUUUAGGCUCUAGUGCUUUGCGGCGUGAGGGUUCGAGUCCCUCCUUGCGUACCA
Molecule: transfer RNA, 85 nt
Filed under: Mycoplasmopsis phocirhinis
Lineage: Bacteria; Bacillati; Mycoplasmatota; Mycoplasmoidales; Metamycoplasmataceae
Description: Mycoplasma phocirhinis tRNA-Leu
Rfam family: tRNA
About the family: Transfer RNA (tRNA) molecules are approximately 80 nucleotides in length.
Source: RNAcentral